UGCGUGACCUCCACCACUGCUUAGGAGCUUUCUCGCAGGUGCGCUGCCUAUCCACAUCCCUGGCGAUACCCGGUGGUUGCACGGCAUUCAUCUAUGCCGCGACCGAGGAGGAGGCCCUGCAGGCUGCUACGGACACGCGGUCGUUGCCGUAGCUGGGGCGGAAGGUCAUCAGUCGUUUCAAUGAUAUUUAAUGGAUUCCAACAUCCCCAUCCUGUGUGCGAUGGGCUGCAAUCAAUACCAUUGGUCAGUUGUCUACGGAUUUGGGCCCAGAAGGUGCUACAUGCAUUGGUGAAUGCUAUAGAUGAUUUCCAUAAUCCAAGGGUUCAGAAACUGAGGAAGCUCUGAAAGUUGAUGAGGGUGCUCCAGUUGCCAAGAAACAGGGCGAGCAGAAUGGUACCCCAACAGCAGAUGAGAACAAAGAUAACAAGGAUGCUACUGCAAAUGAGGAAGAAAAGGAGGACAAUAAGUUGUGAUGAAGACUGAAUUUGAUGGAGAUCUCGUACAUGAAAUUGGACAAAGCCAACCAAUCAUUAUUAUCUUUGUUGGACAAUAAUGAAGAGAUAGAAAGGACCAACAUUUCUAAGUGGAAUUUCAGUGUGCCUUUGGUACAUAAAUGAAGAUAUUCCACAUAUCAAAGAGUUUUAUGCAAGGUAACACUCUUCCUUUCAUAUUAGCCUUAAUCUAAACUAACUGGAUACUAUAGAAAACUUUCAUAUUAUUUUAGAUAUCCCCUAAUUUAAUCAUCUAUACACAUAGGCUUCCAUCCAAGAUUGAACCCGUGAAGAAAAUAGAGUU
Molecule: long non-coding RNA, 795 nt
Organism: Phragmites australis (common reed)
Lineage: Eukaryota; Viridiplantae; Streptophyta; Magnoliopsida; Poales; Poaceae
Exons: 3
Source: RefSeq, a predicted model, not a curated record